UAGGGAAUCUUCCACAAUGGACGCAAGUCUGAUGGAGCAACGCCGCGUGAGUGAAGAAGGUUUUCGGAUCGUAAAGCUCUGUUGUUGGUGAAGAAGGAUAGAGGCAGUAACUGGUCUUUAUUUGACGGUAAUCAACCAGAAAGUCACGGCUAACUACGUGCCAGCAGCCGCGGUAAUACGUAGGUGGCAAGCGUUGUCCGGAUUUAUUGGGCGUAAAGCGAGCGCAGGCGGAAUGAUAAGUCUGAUGUGAAAGCCCACGGCUCAACCGUGGAACUGCAUCGGAAACUGUCAUUCUUGAGUGCAGAAGAGGAGAGUGGAAUUCCAAGUGUAGCGGUGGAAUGCGUAGAUAUAUGGAAGAACACCAGUGGCGAAGGCGGCUCUCUGGUCUGCAACUGACGCUGAGGCUCGAAAGCAUGGGUAGCGAACAGG
RNAcentral lists this ribosomal RNA (429 nucleotides) under bacterium. Its description in RNAcentral is "partial 16S ribosomal RNA". It matches the Rfam family "Bacterial small subunit ribosomal RNA", at positions 355 to 776 of the family's 1533-position model. The record is from RNAcentral.